UAUAUAUGAGUCCAGCUACUAUACUAUUGAUUGUACCAAGCCUUUGGUACUAUUAAGUUUUCUACCGUUAGAUCUACCCUUUGAUCAUUUCCAUCCGUUAGAUAAUACUAUUAAACCAACCACCCACUCAACCCUUGAGGACCACUAUUAAUUUAACCGGGGACCACUAUCAUCCUAACCGCACAUUAUUUUAUCCAACGGCCAAAAACUCAAUAGUACCAGAGACUUGGUACUAUUGAUAGUAUAGUAGCAUAAUUCUAUAUAUAUAUAUAUAUAUAUAUAUAUAUAUAUAGUUUUGACAAAAAAAGUUUAUUUUUUUUUUGAGAGAUAGGUAGCACGCUACCCGCUUCGUUUAUUUCAUUUAGAAAUAAACUUAGCUAGAAAUGUGAAUCAACUAGGAUUCGAACUUGGGUCUCGGGUACCAAUCACAAAUCCUUUUGCCACUUGCUCUAGGAAUAGUCGGUGAUAAAAAAUAUUUAUUGAUUAUUAAAUUUGAGUCAAUGUAAACAAUAAA
This 514-nucleotide long non-coding RNA is filed under the name Ananas comosus (pineapple). Its description in RNAcentral is "long non-coding RNA (ACOM_LNC040275)". Lineage: Eukaryota; Viridiplantae; Streptophyta; Magnoliopsida; Poales; Bromeliaceae. The record is from RNAcentral.